Molecule: long non-coding RNA, 557 nt
Organism: Candoia aspera
Lineage: Eukaryota; Metazoa; Chordata; Lepidosauria; Squamata; Candoiidae
Exons: 3
Source: RefSeq, a predicted model, not a curated record
GUUACCUGGGGCUUGUGAUCGUCGCGGACACCCAUCGCCGCGGAACUUUUCCUCUGUUCUUUCUACUGUUAGCCCUACUGCCGUUUCUCUCCUCCUCCUCCUCCUGGCAUCAGGUCCUCCUCCGACGAACGGACCGCUUUUCCCGGGGCUCCUACAAGUCACCCAGUCCCUUCGCGGCUGGCCGAGCUUUGGAUCCCGCUCGCCCCCCACCCGCAAGUGCAGGUAGCCCGUGGUUUCUCGGCAACCGGCACGCCACCGAAACUGCCAUGUCGGGAGAAAAGGCAGAGCGACUCUGAAUGGGGUCUUGCUGCUUUGCGCCGGUCUCCUGCGACGCGGCUACAUCCUUCGACGCGCUCCAGGCCUUGGAUGUAUAGGAAAAUUUGGGUGCAGACAUGCUUGGAUUCAUUUACAAAUGGGAAUCUGCAUUUCUGGCAGAACGUAUCUGCUGCUAAGUUUGCUGACCUGCAAUAACAACCUGGUAGAAUUAUCAAGCUUUUGCCUUGUAUUUUACACCACUCUCAAAUUAUAUAUUGUUCCUUCAGUCUCAGCAGUUUCCU